RNAcentral lists this ribosomal RNA (505 nucleotides) under uncultured Bacillota bacterium. RNAcentral describes it as "bacterial SSU rRNA". It matches the Rfam family "Bacterial small subunit ribosomal RNA", at positions 355 to 851 of the family's 1533-position model. The record is from RNAcentral. Lineage: Bacteria; Bacillati; Bacillota.
UAGGGAAUCUUCCGCAAUGGACAAAAGUCUGACGGAGCAACGCCGCGUGAGCGAAGAAGGCCUUCGGGUCGUAAAGCUCUGUUGUUAGGGAAGAACGAGUACGAGAGUAACUGCUCGUACCUUGACGGUACCUAACCAGAAAGCCACGGCUAACUACGUGCCAGCGGCCGCGGUAAUACGUAGGUGGCAAGCGUUGUCCGGAAUUAUUGGGCGUAAAGCGCGCGCAGGCGGUCCUUUAAGUCUGAUGUGAAAGCCCACGGCUCAACCGUGGAGGGUCAUUGGAAACUGGGGGACUUGAGUGCAGAAGAGGAGAGUGGAAUUCCACGUGUAGCGGUGAAAUGCGUAGAGAUGUGGAGGAACACCAGUGGCGAAGGCGACUCUCUGGUCUGUAACUGACGCUGAGGCGCGAAAGCGUGGGGAGCAAACAGGAUUAGAUACCCUGGUAGUCCACGCCGUAAACGAUGAGUGCUAAGUGUUAGAGGGUUUCCGCCCUUUAGUGCUGCAG